RNAcentral lists this ribosomal RNA (242 nucleotides) under uncultured soil bacterium. RNAcentral describes it as "partial 16S ribosomal RNA". It matches the Rfam family "Bacterial small subunit ribosomal RNA", at positions 26 to 274 of the family's 1533-position model. The record is from RNAcentral.
AGAUUGAACGCUGGCGGCAGGCCUAACACAUGCAAGUCGAGCGGCAGCACGGGUACUUGUACCUGGUGGCGAGCGGCGGACGGGUGAGUAAUGCCUAGGAAUCUGCCUGAUAGUGGGGGGAUAACGUUCGGAAACGGACGCUAAUACCGCAUACGUCCUACGGGAGAAAGUGGGGGAUCUUCGGACCUCACGCUAUCAGAUGAGCCUAGGUCGGAUUAGCUAGUUGUAGGUAAGCUACAGGC